Oryza meridionalis is the source of this 203-nucleotide non-coding RNA. NCBI's taxonomy places the organism in Eukaryota, Viridiplantae, Streptophyta, Magnoliopsida, Poales, Poaceae. The record is from Rfam.
UGCAUGCAGAAGCUAGAGUUUUCGUGUCCAACUUUAAUCGUCCGUCUUAUUUAAAUUUUUUUAGAUUAAUAUUCUUAUUGUUAUUAGAUUAUAAAACAUGAAUAGUACUUUAUGUGUGAUUUAUGUUUUUUAGUUUUUUCAAAAAAAUUGCAAACAAGACGGACGGUUAAAGUUAGAUACGAAAACUUAUGACCACGUUUAUU